RNAcentral lists this ribosomal RNA (767 nucleotides) under bacterium LGM33. Its description in RNAcentral is "bacterial SSU rRNA". It matches the Rfam family "Bacterial small subunit ribosomal RNA", at positions 75 to 837 of the family's 1533-position model. The record is from RNAcentral.
GUAGCUUGCUACUUAACCUAGCGGCGGACGGGUGAGUAAUGCUUAGGAAUCUGCCUAUUAGUGGGGGACAACAUCUCGAAAGGGAUGCUAAUACCGCAUACGUCCUACGGGAGAAAGCAGGGGACCUUCGGGCCUUGCGCUAAUAGAUGAGCCUAAGUCGGAUUAGCUAGUUGGUGGGGUAAAGGCCUACCAAGGCGACGAUCUGUAGCGGGUCUGAGAGGAUGAUCCGCCACACUGGGACUGAGACACGGCCCAGACUCCUACGGGAGGCAGCAGUGGGGAAUAUUGGACAAUGGGGGGAACCCUGAUCCAGCCAUGCCGCGUGUGUGAAGAAGGCCUUUUGGUUGUAAAGCACUUUAAGCGAGGAGGAGGCUACCGAGAUUAAUACUCUUGGAUAGUGGACGUUACUCGCAGAAUAAGCACCGGCUAACUCUGUGCCAGCAGCCGCGGUAAUACAGAGGGUGCAAGCGUUAAUCGGAUUUACUGGGCGUAAAGCGCGCGUAGGUGGCCAAUUAAGUCAAAUGUGAAAUCCCCGAGCUUAACUUGGGAAUUGCAUUCGAUACUGGUUGGCUAGAGUAUGGGAGAGGAUGGUAGAAUUCCAGGUGUAGCGGUGAAAUGCGUAGAGAUCUGGAGGAAUACCGAUGGCGAAGGCAGCCAUCUGGCCUAAUACUGACACUGAGGUGCGAAAGCAUGGGGAGCAAACAGGAUUAGAUACCCUGGUAGUCCAUGCCGUAAACGAUGUCUACUAGCCGUUGGGGCCUUUGAGG